This 497-nucleotide ribosomal RNA is filed under the name uncultured bacterium. RNAcentral's name for it is "partial 16S ribosomal RNA". It matches the Rfam family "Bacterial small subunit ribosomal RNA", at positions 28 to 507 of the family's 1533-position model. The record is from RNAcentral.
GAUGAACGCUGGCGGCGUGCCUAAUACAUGCAAGUCGAGCGAACAGACGAGGAGCUUGCUCCUCUGACGUUAGCGACGGACGGGUGAGUAACACGUGGAUAACCUACCUAUAAGACUGGGAUAACUUCGGGAAACCGGAGCUAAUACCGGAUAAUAUAUUGAACCGCAUGGUUCAAUAGUGAAAGACGGUUUUGCUGUCACUUAUAGAUGGAUCCGCGCCGCAUUAGCUAGUUGGUAAGGUAACGGCUUACCAAGGCAACGAUGCGUAGCCGACCUGAGAGGGUGAUCGGCCACACUGGAACUGAGACACGGUCCAGACUCCUACGGGAGGCAGCAGUAGGGAAUCUUCCGCAAUGGGAGAAAGCUUGACGGAGCAACGCCGCGGGAGUGAUGAAGGUCGUCGGAUCGUAAAACUCUGUUAUUAGGGAAGAACAAAUGUGUAAGUAACUAUGCACGUCUUGACGGUACCUAAUCAGAAAGCCACGGCUAACUACGUG